Molecule: long non-coding RNA, 1376 nt
Organism: Herpailurus yagouaroundi (jaguarundi)
Lineage: Eukaryota; Metazoa; Chordata; Mammalia; Carnivora; Felidae
Exons: 2
Source: RefSeq, a predicted model, not a curated record
CCCGAUGUGGGGCUGGAACCCAAGAGCUGUGAGAACAUGACCAGAGCUGAAACCAAGAGUCGGAUGCUUAACUGACUGAGCCACUCAGGCGCCCUGGACACAUGAUAUUUGUAAACCUAGGAAAAAGCAAGGAAAACUCCUUGGAGAUUGAUUUGGACACUUGAUCAAAAUGAAUCUUAAAAAUAUUGAUAACUCAAAUUCUUUAAAAAGGUAAAAAUCAGCUCAUUUCAAGCAAGCUCUCCUGCCGGCCACUUGGAAUAAAGUUAAAGCACCUUUUGAAUAGGUCAUCUGAAUGCAGUUUUCUCUUGUAAGUGGGUUUAAGCAGGAACAGGUUGCCAUUUCCUUGACAUCGCUAUGUGCUGUUGCACAUGUCUGAAGUCCAGACAUGAAAUGAGGUGUGUGCGUGUGCGUGUGCGUGUGGGCAUAUGGGACCAGUUUUCCUCACAAUGACAAACACAUGAGUGGAUCCCAUGCUUAACCCCUGGUUGUGCAACUUCAAGCACACUGACAAUGAGGCGAGCCCAAAGCUGUGCUGCUUGGCCUAGAAUGGAAAUUCUCCUGCAGACUCCUUUAACUUCUCUUCUAGUAACGGCUGAAGACUUAAGAUGAAAACAGCAAGAUGCAAGAUAUUUGCGAGUUUGUUUUGAGCACCAACUGGAUGGCUUUGCUUAAAGGACCACCAUGAGGACUGUUUCAGACAAGGAAUCUUCAAAGUUCUGCUCUUGAACCAUGGCAGCAAGAAGAAGAUAUAAGCUCAGUUUCUCUUUUUAACCCACUGAAAGGUUCUGUUAUGCAAAAGGUUCUAAAAGGUUCUUUGUGCUGGUACCAAAUCCCAGCGAUCACGAGAGAGCUUAGGUCUUUCUGGUGGACCCAACAACUUGAAUGAUGGUCUAUCAGCUUUGGAGAUUUGACCUUCUGAGAUUAGAGACAGCUGUGCAGAGAAAGAAUCUCCCCCAUCCCAUGUUCUACCAUUCCCACAGAAAUAAAUAUACUUUCGUUUGAGCCAGCUUAGACACAGAGGAGUCAACACUGGAGCAUUUAUCUGAAAAGAAAACCCAGGAAAACCCCUGACAUAUCUUGGAAAGACCUCUAAAAAUCUAGACAUGACUGUAGUUCAAAGGCCCAUGUUUUCUCCUCCCCCAGGCUCUCUCCUGGGGCAGUAGUUCUCAAUAUUCAAUCUGGAGGUUAACUUUUGGCUCUGCGAUCAACUAUCUGGGUGGAGGGCUACUCAGGGAGCCCCAGCGUCUUCAUCUGUCAAUAAAUUACUCUUUGGGGCUACUAUGGGAAGUAAAGAGGAAAGUGAGUAUGGCGAUCUCAGCACAGUGAUGGUCACUAAAUCAAAACUAAAUAAAGACUCAACAGAAUGUUAGCACCUA